Molecule: ribosomal RNA, 1401 nt
Filed under: Klebsiella variicola
Lineage: Bacteria; Pseudomonadati; Pseudomonadota; Gammaproteobacteria; Enterobacterales; Enterobacteriaceae
Description: bacterial SSU rRNA
Rfam family: Bacterial small subunit ribosomal RNA
Source: RNAcentral
AUGCAGUCGAGCGGUAGCACAGAGAGCUUGCUCUCGGGUGACGAGCGGCGGACGGGUGAGUAAUGUCUGGGAAACUGCCUGAUGGAGGGGGAUAACUACUGGAAACGGUAGCUAAUACCGCAUAACGUCGCAAGACCAAAGUGGGGGACCUUCGGGCCUCAUGCCAUCAGAUGUGCCCAGAUGGGAUUAGCUAGUAGGUGGGGUAACGGCUCACCUAGGCGACGAUCCCUAGCUGGUCUGAGAGGAUGACCAGCCACACUGGAACUGAGACACGGUCCAGACUCCUACGGGAGGCAGCAGUGGGGAAUAUUGCACAAUGGGCGCAAGCCUGAUGCAGCCAUGCCGCGUGUGUGAAGAAGGCCUUCGGGUUGUAAAGCACUUUCAGCGGGGAGGAAGGCGGUGAGGUUAAUAACCUCAUCGAUUGACGUUACCCGCAGAAGAAGCACCGGCUAACUCCGUGCCAGCAGCCGCGGUAAUACGGAGGGUGCAAGCGUUAAUCGGAAUUACUGGGCGUAAAGCGCACGCAGGCGGUCUGUCAAGUCGGAUGUGAAAUCCCCGGGCUCAACCUGGGAACUGCAUUCGAAACUGGCAGGCUAGAGUCUUGUAGAGGGGGGUAGAAUUCCAGGUGUAGCGGUGAAAUGCGUAGAGAUCUGGAGGAAUACCGGUGGCGAAGGCGGCCCCCUGGACAAAGACUGACGCUCAGGUGCGAAAGCGUGGGGAGCAAACAGGAUUAGAUACCCUGGUAGUCCACGCUGUAAACGAUGUCGAUUUGGAGGUUGUGCCCUUGAGGCGUGGCUUCCGGAGCUAACGCGUUAAAUCGACCGCCUGGGGAGUACGGCCGCAAGGUUAAAACUCAAAUGAAUUGACGGGGGCCCGCACAAGCGGUGGAGCAUGUGGUUUAAUUCGAUGCAACGCGAAGAACCUUACCUGGUCUUGACAUCCACAGAACUUUCCAGAGAUGGAUUGGUGCCUUCGGGAACUGUGAGACAGGUGCUGCAUGGCUGUCGUCAGCUCGUGUUGUGAAAUGUUGGGUUAAGUCCCGCAACGAGCGCAACCCUUAUCCUUUGUUGCCAGCGGUUAGGCCGGGAACUCAAAGGAGACUGCCAGUGAUAAACUGGAGGAAGGUGGGGAUGACGUCAAGUCAUCAUGGCCCUUACGACCAGGGCUACACACGUGCUACAAUGGCAUAUACAAAGAGAAGCGACCUCGCGAGAGCAAGCGGACCUCAUAAAGUAUGUCGUAGUCCGGAUUGGAGUCUGCAACUCGACUCCAUGAAGUCGGAAUCGCUAGUAAUCGUAGAUCAGAAUGCUACGGUGAAUACGUUCCCGGGCCUUGUACACACCGCCCGUCACACCAUGGGAGUGGGUUGCAAAAGAAGUAGGUAGCUUAACCUUCGGGAGG